Molecule: ribosomal RNA, 411 nt
Filed under: uncultured bacterium
Lineage: Bacteria
Description: partial 16S ribosomal RNA
Rfam family: Bacterial small subunit ribosomal RNA
Source: RNAcentral
UGGGGAAUAUUGCACAAUGGGCGCAAGCCUGAUGCAGCCAUGCCGCGUGUGUGAAGAAGGCCUUCGGUUGUAAAGCACUUUCAGCGAGGAGGAAGGUGGGUGAGCUUAAUACGCUCAUCAAUUGACGUUACUCGCAGAAGAAGCACCGGCUAACUCCGUGCCAGCAGCCGCGGUAAUACGGAGGGUGCAAGCGUUAAUCGGAAUUACUGGGCGUAAAGCGCACGCAGGCGGUUUGUUAAGUCAGAUGUGAAAUCCCCGGGCUCAACCUGGGAACUGCAUUUGAAACUGGCAAGCUAGAGGUCUCGUAGAGGGGGGUAGAAUUCCAGGUGUAGCGGUGAAAUGCGUAGAGAUCUGGAGGAAUACCGGUGGCGAAAGGCCGGCCCCCCUGGAGAAGACUGACGCUCAGGUGCG